Molecule: ribosomal RNA, 1032 nt
Filed under: Triticum aestivum (bread wheat)
Lineage: Eukaryota; Viridiplantae; Streptophyta; Magnoliopsida; Poales; Poaceae
Description: partial small subunit ribosomal RNA
Source: RNAcentral
AUGGCCGUGUGCCGCCCCUCUCCUCCGAGCGCCGCGUCGGGCCUCCUGCGCCGUAACUGGAGUCCAACUCCGACGCCCCUGCCUUGCGUCGUCUUCUUCAACCCCCUGCCCGAGUCCCCUGCAUCACGCCCCGUCGCCGGAGCCGCGUCAAGCCGCCGUCCUCUCCUCGCCGGUGCGCCCCCCUCCAUUCCGGCGCCGGGAACGGAACCCCGCGCCCGAAUCUCGCCUCCACCACCAUGCGCCGCGUGCCCAACCUCCUCCCUCACUUGCGGCCGUGCCUCCUCCUCCGCAUCAGCCGGCUUCUCCCCUCGUUCCCACGCAGCGCCAUGCCCCGUCGCCCCUCCGGUCGCUGCGACCAGGAGCGCUGCCGCCCUCCUUCCUCAUCUGCACCGAGCCCCGCGGCCACUUCGUCCAUGUCGCCCCGCGCCUCCGUUCCGCGAGACCGCCCGUUCCUCCCAUCGCCACCCGCCGCCGUCGGCGACCACCAGGAGGGCCACCUCCAGCUUCCCCGUCCUCUGCUUCGCCUCGUGCCCAACGGCUUGUCCGACGCUGCCCUGCACCAGCUCGUGUGUCCGCGCGUGUAGCCAGGACUGCCAAGACUCAAUGGUUUUCCAUGCGUCGCCGGGAGCUCCUCCAAUUGUUGCCCCGUACACCGCUUUGCUGCUGCCGCUGGAUCGCCAAGACCGAUCCCCCGAGGAACCUUGUGUUCAACUACACAACGAGCAAGUUCCACUACAACCCAUGUUCGACUACUUAGAUUCGCCAAGUACCACGACGACCAUCGCUUGCCAAGAUCGACUACACGGUGAUGCGACAAGUACCUCUCUCGACGACCCUGGACGACUACAAAAACGUGUACCACUACCGUCGACCCUUGAAGACCCCAUGGACCCCGAACAUCUGUGGAUCAUGAACACCUACUUCCACUACGAGAUGUACCUCUACCGACGCCGCGAACGACUACUUCCACGACGUCCCGUGAACGCCUACUUCCUCUACACCGCUCCAAAAACGCACGCUUCAAAGGUAUAA